Molecule: ribosomal RNA, 252 nt
Filed under: uncultured bacterium
Lineage: Bacteria
Description: partial 16S ribosomal RNA
Rfam family: Bacterial small subunit ribosomal RNA
Source: RNAcentral
ACGGGGGGUGCAAGCGUUACUCGGAAUCACUGGGCGUAAAGAGCAUGUAGGCUGGUUUGUAAGUUGGAAGUGAAAUCCUAUGGCUUAACCAUAGAACUGCUUCCAAAACUGCAGACCUAGAGUAUGGGAGAGGUAGAUGGAAUUUCUGGUGUAGGGGUAAAAUCCGUAGAGAUCAGAAGGAAUACCGAUUGCGAAGGCGAUCUACUGGAACAUUACUGACGCUGAGAUGCGAAAGCGUGGGGAGCAAACAGG